Long non-coding RNA from Myotis lucifugus (little brown bat), 1009 nucleotides. RefSeq lists it as uncharacterized. Lineage: Eukaryota; Metazoa; Chordata; Mammalia; Chiroptera; Vespertilionidae. The record is from RefSeq and is a predicted model, not a curated record. The transcript has 3 exons.
AACUGGUCAUGGCGACCUUCCCUCUUCUUGCUUUACCCUCCCCUACCAUCUCCGAGCCCCCGCGAAGUGGUGGACCUCUGGGCCUCACCCCGAGCUGGCCAAUGCUUGCAAUGGGAACCGUCUGGUUUCCCGCUGUCCCUGCACCCACUCGAGCACAGCACACCGUUUGGUGACUACAGGGCCUGCGCAUCCCCAGGUGCCAUAGGGAAGGGGCUGUCAGAAAGGCCAACGCGCUUGAGCGCAAGAGCCCUCACUUCGCUGAUGGCCGCAGCACACGGGUGGGGCUGGAGGCUGGUUUUUGACACAGUGUGAACCCCGCAAAGGUGGGGGUGCCUAGCGAGAUAGAGAUCUGGGAGGGAAGUUUCUGCUCCGAGGCCCUGGAAAUCACGUGGCCUUACAACUGCCUUAAGGCCUGGUGCCUGGAAACCCCCGUCUCUCUUCAAAGCCCCGCCCCAAAACUCAGGGGUUUUUGUGUGAGUUUUGUUUUUUCACUGGUCAGGGCUGGAAGACACAGCAGCGAUAGUUUCCUUUCAGCCGACCCCACUCGCUUUACAAAUAAGGAAACGACUCCUAUUGGGGAAAUGACUCGCUCAAGUCUACACAGCAGUGGCCGGCUGAUCCGACCCUUAGAAUCCACCCAUAGGAGGAGCCGAGCUCGAGGUCGCGCGAGCGGAGGCGGGGAGGUGGAGGCGAGUCCGGGAAGACUCACCGCGCACUUGGAGGUAGAGCUCGGGGUCCAGGUCCGGCCGGGGCGGCGGUGCCCCCGGGCCCUGGCGCAGCAGCAGCGCGGCCGGUCUCUUGGCCAGGCGGCCUCCGCCCGCGUCCUCCACGAGCCAGCACUCGAUCACGGCCGGUCCCGCCGAGACCGCGCUCGCCCAGCCUGGAUCUUGGUCUUGGGAAACCAGGGGCGCUGAUGCUGGGCAGCUUCCACCCCGCUUUACAUAUAUCCAGUGCUUCUGUGGCAUGAUGCUGGGGGGCGCAUAGGUGGGCCGUCGGAGCCCCGCCCCAG